ACAAAAAUAAGAUUUAUUAAUUAUCCUAUGGAUAUCAACAAUCAAGAGACUAACAAGACGCACUUUAUUAGUGCGUGUUUCCAAAGAUAAUUCCCUUUUGCAAGUUUACUACUCGAUCAGCUAAUCGGAAACCCAUACGAUUCCAAUGUCGGAAGGGCAGCCAGCUGACGUGGCAUCUAAUCCACCCAUGGAGAUGCUAGACUCACAUAUGCUUUCCUUUGAAAUACAACACUCUCUCUCACCUAUGAUAGGCUAUAUUUCAUGGGAAAAGUAGCCCUUUUUAUUCCAUCAUCACGUUUUUGUAAUAUGCAGCAGCAGCAGCAGCCGCCUCAUGAAGCCCUUCCUACCAUCAGGUCAUUUCUCCUCCAGAUGUUUUCGAUGGUGCGGCAAGCCAAUGAGAACACUCGUGGGUUUCUGCUUCUAGGCAUUAAUGGCGUCGUAUUUCAUCAAUUGACAUCGGUGACCUCUUAUGUUUUUGAUGAGAAGAGGAAGUUACUCAACUUUGGGGAAGCUUUUAAUAUGUCCCUUCCACCGAUGGUCCAUAUCAGCAUGAUUGUUUGGAGUUUCGCGCUGAAUUAUCUCCUCCUAUUCCGACUUAACCCUGGAAUACAAUGUAUUCUUCUACUCGUGACCAUAUUAAUGCAGUGGUAUUAUUUUGCUGAACUAGCUCGUGGAGCCGCUGGUAUUGCUGUUGACUUAGGUUCGUUCAAGAUGCCCCUCCUAUGGUUUUCUUUUUUCGGGGGCAUCGGCAUGGCGCUGUUUUCUGGUUCAACGGUACUGCUCAUAGUCUUUUUAUCAUGGCUAUGUGCAAGAAGAAGAGGACUGGAAUUCCAAGGAAUAAGGGUGAAUGGGGAUUCCAUAAUAGGGGCUAUGAAUGCGUGAGCAACUCAUCAAACCAUAUAAUAACUUGUAGUUUGCGAUGGACUUGUUAAUAGUUUUUGUCUCAGGCUGUGGGGUUGAUGAGCUAGCUUUUUAGCGGUGAAUUCACCUUUUUACAUGGCCCAACAUAGGAAUGGAUGUUUUAUUACGCAUAUCCGUUACGGGUUUGUUUUGGUGUGUCUUUAAGAAAAAAAAAAAUUCCUCUAAAAGAGAUCUUUUUUUUCAAAGAUCUUUUUAAAAGGUAAAAAUAAUUAUGUUCAAAUA
Molecule: RNA transcript, 1143 nt
Organism: Arachis stenosperma
Lineage: Eukaryota; Viridiplantae; Streptophyta; Magnoliopsida; Fabales; Fabaceae
Exons: 3
Source: RefSeq, a predicted model, not a curated record